GCCUAGCUCAGUUGGUUAGUUAGAGCAUGGUGCUGAUAACACCAGGGUUGCAGGUUCAAUUCCCAUAUGGAACA
Podarcis lilfordi (Lilford's wall lizard) is the source of this 74-nucleotide non-coding RNA. The record is from the annotation of a GenBank genome assembly. Lineage: Eukaryota; Metazoa; Chordata; Lepidosauria; Squamata; Lacertidae.